AAACUUUUCUUCAAAACAGCCUGUUGACUCAGGAGCUAGAAGACUGCUCCUGUUGAUUGUAACAGGAUGUGAAGGUCUCAAACCAUGUAGUACUUUUUCACCUUCCCUUAGAAUGAAAAGUUCAUUUUUCAAAGAUGUUGAAGGUGUGGAUAGCAUCCAGCCUGGGUAAGAGCCGUAGAAUCACAGUGGUUGAAAAGGAUCUGUGGAGGUCAUCUCAUCCAAACUCUUCCACAAGCCCAAUCUAAGGCUGCUGAGGGCCAUGUUCAGAUGGAUUUUUAAUAUCUUCAAGGCAGGAAUUUAUCUCCAGGCAGCCUGGUCCAGAGUCUGAUGACUCUUGUGGUGACUUUUUCCUUUAUAUUCAAAGCAAAUUUUCCAUCUUGUAUAUUUUGUCACUUAUCCUAUCUCUGUGCAACCCGAAGGAGUAUAUUGUUCCAUCUUCUUUGUAUCAUCAUGCAGUUGUAGGUAUCAGUGCCACUUCCCAAAGUAGAGCAAAAGCAGCUCCCUCAGCUUCUCCAUUUAUUUCCUGUGUUCCAACAUACAGACUAUCUUGGCAUCUCUGCUAAGACAUACCAAUAUGUCAGUGAUUUUCUUUGGUCAAAAUGGUAAAUAAGAAACAGUCCAAGUGCUGUGGACUUCAAGUGUAAGGAACAGGAUGAGGUCAUUGUUGUAUGCAUG
Long non-coding RNA from Gallus gallus (chicken), 675 nucleotides. NCBI's taxonomy places the organism in Eukaryota, Metazoa, Chordata, Aves, Galliformes, Phasianidae. The record is from Ensembl.